This 2903-nucleotide ribosomal RNA is filed under the name Salmonella enterica. Its description in RNAcentral is "23S ribosomal RNA". It matches the Rfam family "Bacterial large subunit ribosomal RNA". Lineage: Bacteria; Pseudomonadati; Pseudomonadota; Gammaproteobacteria; Enterobacterales; Enterobacteriaceae. The record is from RNAcentral.
UUAAGCGACUAAGCGUACACGGUGGAUGCCCUGGCAGUCAGAGGCGAUGAAGGGCGUGCUAAUCUGCGAUAAGCGCCGGUAAGGUGAUAUGAACCGUUAUAACCGGCGAUACCCGAAUGGGGAAACCCAGUGUGAUUCGUCACACUAUCAUUAACUGAAUCCAUAGGUUAAUGAGGCGAACCGGGGGAACUGAAACAUCUAAGUACCCCGAGGAAAAGAAAUCAACCGAGAUUCCCCCAGUAGCGGCGAGCGAACGGGGAGGAGCCCAGAGCCUGAAUCAGCAUGUGUGUUAGUGGAAGCGUCUGGAAAGGCGCGCGAUACAGGGUGACAGCCCCGUACACAAAAGCGCAUGUGCUGUGAGCUCGAUGAGUAGGGCGGGACACGUGGUAUCCUGUCUGAAUAUGGGGGGACCAUCCUCCAAGGCUAAAUACUCCUGACUGACCGAUAGUGAACCAGUACCGUGAGGGAAAGGCGAAAAGAACCCCGGCGAGGGGAGUGAAAAAGAACCUGAAACCGUGUACGUACAAGCAGUGGGAGCACCCUUUGGGGUGUGACUGCGUACCUUUUGUAUAAUGGGUCAGCGACUUAUAUUCUGUAGCAAGGUUAACCGUAUAGGGGAGCCGGAGGGAAACCGAGUCUUAAUUGGGCGUUAAGUUGCAGGGUAUAGACCCGAAACCCGGUGAUCUAGCCAUGGGCAGGUUGAAGGUUGGGUAACACUAACUGGAGGACCGAACCGACUAAUGUUGAAAAAUUAGCGGAUGACCUGUGGCUGGGGGUGAAAGGCCAAUCAAACCGGGAGAUAGCUGGUUCUCCCCGAAAGCUAUUUAGGUAGCGCCUCGUGAAUUCAUCUCCGGGGGUAGAGCACUGUUUCGGCUAGGGGGCCAUCCCGGCUUACCAACCCGAUGCAAACUGCGAAUACCGGAGAAUGUUAUCACGGGAGACACACGGCGGGUGCUAACGUCCGUCGUGAAGAGGGAAACAACCCAGACCGCCAGCUAAGGUCCCAAAGUCAUGGUUAAGUGGGAAACGAUGUGGGAAGGCCCAGACAGCCAGGAUGUUGGCUUAGAAGCAGCCAUCAUUUAAAGAAAGCGUAAUAGCUCACUGGUCGAGUCGGCCUGCGCGGAAGAUGUAACGGGGCUAAACCAUGCACCGAAGCUGCGGCAGCGACGUUUAUGCGUUGUUGGGUAGGGGAGCGUUCUGUAAGCCUGCGAAGGUGGCCUGUGAGGGUUGCUGGAGGUAUCAGAAGUGCGAAUGCUGACAUAAGUAACGAUAAAGCGGGUGAAAAGCCCGCUCGCCGGAAGACCAAGGGUUCCUGUCCAACGUUAAUCGGGGCAGGGUGAGUCGACCCCUAAGGCGAGGCCGAAAGGCGUAGUCGAUGGGAAACAGGUUAAUAUUCCUGUACUUGGUGUUACUGCGAAGGGGGGACGGAGAAGGCUAUGUUGGCCGGGCGACGGUUGUCCCGGUUUAAGCGUGUAGGUGUGUGUUCCAGGUAAAUCCGGUUCACUUUAACACUGAGGCGUGACGACGAGGCACUACGGUGCUGAAGCAACAAAUGCCCUGCUUCCAGGAAAAGCCUCUAAGCAUCAGGUAACAUCAAAUCGUACCCCAAACCGACACAGGUGGUCAGGUAGAGAAUACCAAGGCGCUUGAGAGAACUCGGGUGAAGGAACUAGGCAAAAUGGUGCCGUAACUUCGGGAGAAGGCACGCUGACACGUAGGUGAAGUGAUUUACUCAUGGAGCUGAAGUCAGUCGAAGAUACCAGCUGGCUGCAACUGUUUAUUAAAAACACAGCACUGUGCAAACACGAAAGUGGACGUAUACGGUGUGACGCCUGCCCGGUGCCGGAAGGUUAAUUGAUGGGGUCAGCGCAAGCGAAGCUCCUGAUCGAAGCCCCGGUAAACGGCGGCCGUAACUAUAACGGUCCUAAGGUAGCGAAAUUCCUUGUCGGGUAAGUUCCGACCUGCACGAAUGGCGUAAUGAUGGCCAGGCUGUCUCCACCCGAGACUCAGUGAAAUUGAACUCGCUGUGAAGAUGCAGUGUACCCGCGGCAAGACGGAAAGACCCCGUGAACCUUUACUAUAGCUUGACACUGAACAUUGAGCCUUGAUGUGUAGGAUAGGUGGGAGGCUUUGAAGCGUGGACGCCAGUCUGCGUGGAGCCGACCUUGAAAUACCACCCUUUAAUGUUUGAUGUUCUAACGUGGACCCGUGAUCCGGGUUGCGGACAGUGUCUGGUGGGUAGUUUGACUGGGGCGGUCUCCUCCUAAAGAGUAACGGAGGAGCACGAAGGUUGGCUAAUCCUGGUCGGACAUCAGGAGGUUAGUGCAAUGGCAUAAGCCAGCUUGACUGCGAGCGUGACGGCGCGAGCAGGUGCGAAAGCAGGUCAUAGUGAUCCGGUGGUUCUGAAUGGAAGGGCCAUCGCUCAACGGAUAAAAGGUACUCCGGGGAUAACAGGCUGAUACCGCCCAAGAGUUCAUAUCGACGGCGGUGUUUGGCACCUCGAUGUCGGCUCAUCACAUCCUGGGGCUGAAGUAGGUCCCAAGGGUAUGGCUGUUCGCCAUUUAAAGUGGUACGCGAGCUGGGUUUAGAACGUCGUGAGACAGUUCGGUCCCUAUCUGCCGUGGGCGCUGGAGAACUGAGGGGGGCUGCUCCUAGUACGAGAGGACCGGAGUGGACGCAUCACUGGUGUUCGGGUUGUCAUGCCAAUGGCACUGCCCGGUAGCUAAAUGCGGAAGAGAUAAGUGCUGAAAGCAUCUAAGCACGAAACUUGCCCCGAGAUGAGUUCUCCCUGAGACUUAGAGUCUCCUGAAGGAACGUUGAAGACGACGACGUUGAUAGGCCGGGUGUGUAAGCGCAGCGAUGCGUUGAGCUAACCGGUACUAAUGAACCGUGAGGCUUAACCU